CGGGAAAAGCUCAAAUUUAAAAUCUGGCAGUCUUUGGCUGUCCGAGUUGUAAUUUGUAGAGGAUACUUUUGAUGCGGUGCCUUCCGAGUUCCCUGGAACGGGACGCCAUAGAGGGUGAGAGCCCCGUCUGGUUGGAUGCCAAAUCUCUGUAAAGUUCCUUCGAC
This 164-nucleotide ribosomal RNA is filed under the name Nectriaceae sp. RNAcentral describes it as "partial large subunit ribosomal RNA". It matches the Rfam family "Eukaryotic large subunit ribosomal RNA", at positions 99 to 261 of the family's 3401-position model. Lineage: Eukaryota; Fungi; Ascomycota; Sordariomycetes; Hypocreales; Nectriaceae. The record is from RNAcentral.